CUCCUACGGGAGGCAGCAGUGGGGAAUUUUGGACAAUGGGGGAAACCCUGAUCCAGCCAUGCCGCGUGAGUGAAGAAGGCCUUCGGGUUGUAAAGCUCUUUCAGCCGGAACGAAAAGGUUACGGUUAAUACCCGUGACUAAUGACGGUACCGGAAGAAGAAGCACCGGCUAACUACGUGCCAGCAGCCGCGGUAAUACGUAGGGUGCGAGCGUUAAUCGGAAUUACUGGGCGUAAAGCGUGCGCAGGCGGUUUUGUAAGUCAGAUGUGAAAUCCCCGGGCUCAACCUGGGAACUGCGUUUGAAACUACAAGGCUAGAGUGUGGCAGAGGGGGGUGGAAUUCCACGUGUAGCAGUGAAAUGCGUAGAGAUGUGGAGGAACACCGAUGGCGAAGGCAGCCCCCUGGGUUAACACUGACGCUCAGGCACGAAAGCGUGGGGAGCAAACAGGAUUAGAUACCCUGGUAGUCCACGCCCUAAACGAUGUCAACUAGUUGUCGGGUCUUAACGGACUUGGUAACGUAGCUAACGCGUGAAGUGACCGCC
This 543-nucleotide ribosomal RNA is filed under the name uncultured bacterium. Its description in RNAcentral is "bacterial SSU rRNA". It matches the Rfam family "Bacterial small subunit ribosomal RNA", at positions 336 to 873 of the family's 1533-position model. The record is from RNAcentral.